RNAcentral lists this transfer RNA (72 nucleotides) under Camelus bactrianus (Bactrian camel). It matches the Rfam family "tRNA". Rfam says of the family: Transfer RNA (tRNA) molecules are approximately 80 nucleotides in length. RNAcentral also lists the same sequence under 2 other names. Lineage: Eukaryota; Metazoa; Chordata; Mammalia; Artiodactyla; Camelidae. The record is from Rfam by way of RNAcentral.
GAGGGUAUAGCUCAAUGGUAGAGUGUGUGCUUAGCAUGCAGGAGGUCCUGGGUUCAAUCCCCAGUCCCUCCA